Molecule: ribosomal RNA, 468 nt
Filed under: uncultured bacterium
Lineage: Bacteria
Description: partial 16S ribosomal RNA
Rfam family: Bacterial small subunit ribosomal RNA
Source: RNAcentral
GACGAACGCUGGCGGCGUGCUUAACACAUGCAAGUCGAACGGAAAGGCCCUGCUUUUGUGGUGUGCUCGAGUGGCGAACGGGUGAGUAACACGUGAGUAACCUGCCCUUGACUUUGGGAUAACUUCAGGAAACUGUGGCUACUACCGGAUAGGAGCUCCUGCUGCAUGGUGGGGGUUGGAAAUUUUCGGCGGUUGGGGAUGGACUCGCGGCUUUUCAGCUUGUUGGUGGGGUAGUGGCUUACCAAGGCUUUGACGGGUAGCCGGCCUGAGAGGGUGACCGGCGACAUAGGGACAGAGAGACGGCCCAGACUACUAAGGUAGGCAGCAGGGGGGAAUAUUGCACAAUGGGAGGAAGAAUGAUGCAGCAACGCCGCGUGCGGGAUGACGGCCUUCGGGUUGUAAAACGCUUUCGCAUGUGACGAAGCGUGAGUGACGGUAAUGGGUAAAGAAGCACCGGCUAACUACGUG